This 72-nucleotide small RNA is filed under the name Vibrio coralliilyticus. Its description in RNAcentral is "isrK". It matches the Rfam family "isrK Hfq binding RNA". RNAcentral also lists the same sequence under 3 other names. The record is from RNAcentral. Lineage: Bacteria; Pseudomonadati; Pseudomonadota; Gammaproteobacteria; Vibrionales; Vibrionaceae.
GCACUGGCAAAAUCCAGUGCCGGGAUUGAGACCCCGUUUUUGUUGCAGGUGCAUAGCCAUCAGUGAUUUUUU